Molecule: non-coding RNA, 74 nt
Organism: Phrynosoma platyrhinos (Desert horned lizard)
Lineage: Eukaryota; Metazoa; Chordata; Lepidosauria; Squamata; Phrynosomatidae
Source: the annotation of a GenBank genome assembly
GACCCAGUAUAGCAUAAUGGUCUGAGUGCUGGACUAUGACUCUGGAGACCAGGGUUCGACUCCCAGCUUGGCCA